GAAGUAGUGGGGAGGGAGGAAGGGCCGAAAAUUCCAACCUUCUAAUCAUGUCUUGGUCUUUCUGGGCCGUGUGGGAGGGAACUGAAGCCCCCUGACAACAGCCAUUUGAGUGAACCUGUAAGCGGACCCUUCAGCUCUAAAUGAUGCAGCCCUGGCCAACACCUUGACCACAGCCUGUAAGAGACCUGAGAUAGAACUAUCCAGAUGUCUUCUUUCAGGAAGUCCUUCUGGACCUACACUCUCCAUCCUGAGCAGGUUUACAUACUCCUACUCUGUGCUUCAUAAAAUCCUGAGAAUUAGCUUCAUCACUGGACUACAGGAUAGAUCUAGAAUAAUAUGUUUUUUAUGUGAGCUUGUGAAGUGACUGCUACUGAGUUUGGAAUGUUACUGUUUCAUCCUGAAAGACAGUGUUCUCUCCUGAGGUCUGGAGAUUGACAUUUCUGUGGACUUAAUCUAUAUGUCCAAGGACACUUCAAAGGUUAAGCAAAUUCUAUUUCUAGUACUAUAAUCAGUAAAUUGUAAAUGCUAGUAGCUUUAGGUUUUGAUACUUUGGGCCCUUAAUUUUGAAUAAAGAUCCUGCUACCACUCUGAAAUAUCAGAUGCUACACAGUAACAGUGGGCUAUAAAAAUCUACAGUAUGAGACUUGCCAAAACAGGUUUUAUGAGGAUUUGGCUGGUUCUAGAAGUAGAAUUGGCUUAAAUAUACUGUGGCAUGUGAAAAAUGUUAUACAUACAUUUUUGUUUAAAAUUAAAUAUACAAUAAAUUUUAAUCCAAUUGCUUUGUUUUCAAAGACAAAUCUAGAGCAACAUACUUGGAAAGGAAAUUUUAUAAUUUACCUAAAAAUAUCCAAGCAUAUCAUGUAGCCUUUUAGUCUUUAGGAGGUUAACGGAUUGUCUUUGCUUAGAUAACUUGUAAUAAUUUUACACUUUCUCUUUUAUUGGCUGAUUUGGAAAUGAUAAAACAAAAUUAAAAUUGAAAAGGAAUCAAAGCACUCGUUAAAACUCAGCAUCAGAGACACAAGCCCAGGAUACAGUUGCAUAACUGAAUGUUCUUUUCAGGUAACACCUGGCUUUUUCUAUUUAUAGAAAGAUAUCACAAGUUUAAACACAGAGGAAAAUGGUUCAUAAAUCCAAUAAAAUUUGGAAUGCACAACUACCAGCAAUUUCAGGGGAUUUUCACCCAAUAUAUUUGCCAACAAAUCAAUAACACGAGUAAAUCCUUCUGCAUUGUGGACAAUCAAAUGCUCACU
This 1250-nucleotide long non-coding RNA is filed under the name Equus asinus (donkey). Its description in RNAcentral is "lncRNA (ENSEASG00005032118.1)". Lineage: Eukaryota; Metazoa; Chordata; Mammalia; Perissodactyla; Equidae. The record is from RNAcentral.